Molecule: ribosomal RNA, 627 nt
Filed under: uncultured fungus
Lineage: Eukaryota; Fungi
Description: eukaryotic LSU rRNA
Rfam family: 5.8S ribosomal RNA (bases 258-411)
Source: RNAcentral
CUUGGUCAUUUAGAGGAAGUAAAAGUCGUAACAAGGUUUCCGUAGGUGAACCUGCGGAAGGAUCAUUAAAAAAAAAUACGCCUGGUGCAGUGCUAACACACUAAUCCAGGUUGUAUAUAACCACCUGUUUACCUUUACCUGUUGCUUCCGUGGAAUACGGGUGCUCUUCCUGUUCGCAGGCUUGAGUUACCUUCCACGGGUGUAUUCAAAAACUCGUUUUGUAAUUUUGUCUGAUUUAAAAUUUUAAUUAAAGUUAAAACUUUCAACAACGGAUCUCUAGGUUCUCGCAUCGAUGAAGAACGCAGCGAAACGCGAUAAGUAGUGUGAAUUGCAGAUUUCAGUGAAUCAUCGAAUCUUUGAACGCACAUUGCGCCCUUUGGUAUUCCGAAGGGCAUGCCUGUCUGAGCGUCAAUAAAUCAAUCAAACUUUGGUUUGGUAUUGGGAGAAGUGGUUUUGCCUCUCUCCUUUAAGCUAUUGGCGACGCUAUUUCAGCUUGUAAGACGUAGUAAGUAAUUCCUCGUCAAAGCAACUGUAUGGUAGUCUGCCAACUGAACGAUUUAUUUUACAGCUUGGCCUCAGAUCAGGUAGGGAUACCCCCUGAACUUAAGCAUAUCAAUAAGCGGAGGA